UCUUGGCUUUAGGAAAAUGAUUUUCCC
RNAcentral lists this non-coding RNA (27 nucleotides) under Mus musculus (house mouse). Lineage: Eukaryota; Metazoa; Chordata; Mammalia; Rodentia; Muridae. The record is from RNAcentral.